UCCCUGGAGGACUAGUGGUUAGGACUCGGCACUCUCACCACCAUGGUCCAGGUUCGAUUCCCAGCCAGGGAA
Molecule: non-coding RNA, 72 nt
Organism: Pangasianodon gigas (Mekong giant catfish)
Lineage: Eukaryota; Metazoa; Chordata; Actinopteri; Siluriformes; Pangasiidae
Source: the annotation of a GenBank genome assembly